ACGUAGGGUGCGAGCGUUAAUCGGAAUUACUGGGCGUAAAGCGUGCGCAGGCGGUUGUAUAAGUCAGAUGUGAAAACCCCGGGAUCAACCUGGGAACCGCAUUUGAGACUGUACGGCUAGAGUUUGGCAGAGGGGGGUGGAAUUCCACGUGUAGCAGUGAAAUGCGUAGAGAUGUGGAGGAACACCGAUGGCGAAGGCAGCCCCCUGGGCCAAUACUGACGCUCAUGCACGAAAGCGUGGGGAGCGAACAG
This 251-nucleotide ribosomal RNA is filed under the name uncultured prokaryote. RNAcentral's name for it is "partial 16S rRNA". It matches the Rfam family "Bacterial small subunit ribosomal RNA", at positions 525 to 775 of the family's 1533-position model. The record is from RNAcentral.